GACGAACGCUGGCGGCGUGCCUAAUACAUGCAAGUCGAGCGAAUCUGAGGGAGCUUGCUCCCAAAGAUUAGCGGCGGACGGGUGAGUAACACGUGGGCAACCUGCCCGUAAGAUUGGGAUAACUCCGGGAAACCGGUGCUAAUACCGAAUAGUUUCUCGUACCACAUGGUACGAGAGGGAAAGUUGGCUUUUAGCUAACGCUUACGGAUGGGCCCGGGGCGCAUUAGCUAGUUGGUGAGGUAACGGCUCACCAAGGCGACGAUGCGUAGCCGACCUGAGAGGGUGAUCGGCCACACUGGGACUGAGACACGGCCCAGACUCCUACGGGAGGCAGCAGUAGGGAAUCUUCCGCAAUGGACGAAAGUCUGACGGAGCAACGCCGCGUGAGCGAAGAAGGCCUUCGGGUCGUAAAGCUCUGUUGUCAGGGAAGAACAAGUACCGUUCGAAUAGGGCGGUACCUUGACGGUACCUGACCAGAAAGCCACGGCUAACUACGUGCCAGCCGCCGCGGUAA
RNAcentral lists this ribosomal RNA (514 nucleotides) under uncultured bacterium. RNAcentral's name for it is "partial 16S ribosomal RNA". It matches the Rfam family "Bacterial small subunit ribosomal RNA", at positions 28 to 523 of the family's 1533-position model. The record is from RNAcentral.